This 636-nucleotide unclassified non-coding RNA is filed under the name Hevea brasiliensis (rubber tree). The record is from RNAcentral. Lineage: Eukaryota; Viridiplantae; Streptophyta; Magnoliopsida; Malpighiales; Euphorbiaceae.
AGGCCAAUCGAUUCUUGCUCAUGCCAUGGUCUUUGUCUCACUCCUCUAUAGUGUCUUCUUCUCAUAUUCCCUUGAUCAGUGUUAUUUGUAGUCUGAGAAGUGCAAUGUUCGAUCCUAGCAGACCCCAUAUUUUCUUGAACAUGUUCAUCCAGCCUGUGAUUACUGGCCAUGGCAUGAGCAAGAAUCGAUUGGCCUUGAUCAUGAAGAGAUGGUUGGUGGUGAGUAUACAAGAUUUGAUCUUGCUUUCCCUCAUCAGAACCAGGAAAUGGCCUCUUUCUAUGCAUGCUUCGGAUCCACCUUGUUAAACUCUUUAAUUUCUUGCUUCUUUUCAAGGGUUUGGGUUUCUAUAUUGCAUGAUGAAGCUAAAGUAUUUGCUUCUAUCUAUACGUAUUAGAAAAAAGGCAGAUCUGGGUUUUGAUCUAGAUGAUGAUAAAGAUCGAAUAAAGCCAAAAGAGAUAUCAAGAAAAGAAGGAUAUGGUGAUAAAUUGUAAGAUAAAAAGAGAUUGAACAGCAAGAAGAAAGAAGAAGGGAAGGGUAGAGACGAAAAGAAGGUAUUCCUUGUAGGGUUUUGAUUGCCGAUGCAAAGUUGAAGUCACUGUUAUUUGUCCCUUGAUCCUGUCGAUUCCUGAUGAGAUG